Molecule: ribosomal RNA, 49 nt
Filed under: fungal sp. 3.46.4C
Lineage: Eukaryota; Fungi
Description: partial 28S ribosomal RNA
Source: RNAcentral
UUGACCUCGGAUCAGGUAGAGGGAUACCCGCUGAACUUAAGCAUAUCAA